UACGUCAAUCCUAGAAACCAACAAAAUAGGAUCAAACGUCCUAUUUCAUUAUUCCAUGCUAAUGUAUUCAAGCGCAAGCCUGCUUUAAACACUCUAAUUUUUUCAAAGUAACAGUCCUGAUUCCCCGCAACACCAACUGAAUGGCAUUACGGUUCUUCAGAAGGGAGGAAUCAGUGACACCAGUGCAUACCGAAGGCACGACCAGCG
RNAcentral lists this unclassified non-coding RNA (207 nucleotides) under uncultured Glomeraceae. RNAcentral's name for it is "sequence contains 18S rRNA gene". The record is from RNAcentral. Lineage: Eukaryota; Fungi; Glomeromycota; Glomeromycetes; Glomerales; Glomeraceae.